This 492-nucleotide ribosomal RNA is filed under the name uncultured bacterium. Its description in RNAcentral is "partial 16S ribosomal RNA". It matches the Rfam family "Bacterial small subunit ribosomal RNA", at positions 30 to 507 of the family's 1533-position model. The record is from RNAcentral.
AGUGAACGCUGGCGGUAGGCCUAACACAUGCAAGCCGAACGGCAGCACAGUAAGAGCUUGCUCUUACGGGUGGCGAGUGGCGGACGGGUGAGGCAUACAUCGGAAUCUACUUUUUCGUGGGGGAUAACGUAGGGAAACUUACGCUAAUACCUCAUACGACCUACGGGUGAAAGCAUGGGAUCUUCGGACCUUGCGCGAGUGAAUGAGCCGAUGUCGGAUUAGCUAGUUGGCGGGGUAAAGGCCCACCAAGGCGACGAUCCGUAGCUGGUCUGAGAGGAUGAUCCGGCACACUGGAAGUGAGACAGGGUCGAGACUCCGAGGGGAGGCAGCAGUGGGGAAUAUUAGGCAAUGGGGGCAAGCCUGAUCCAGCCAUACCGGGUGAGUGAAGAAGGAGUGAGGGUUGGAAAGCCAUUUUGUUGGGAAGGAAAAGAAGCAGGUUAAGAAGCGGCUGUUCUGACGGUACCCAAAGAAGAAGCACCGGCUAACUUCGUG